GCCUUUACUGACGCUAAAGCUCGAAGGUGCGGGUAUCGAACAGGAUUAGAUACCCUGGUAGUCCGCACGGUAAACGAUGGAUGCCCGCUGUUUGCGAUAUACUGUGAGCGGCCAAGAGAAAUCGUUAAGCAUCCCACCUGGGGAGUACGCCGGCAACGGUGAAACUCAAAGGAAUUGACGGGGGCCCGCACAAGCGGAGGAACAUGUGGUUUAAUUCGAUGAUACGCGAGGAACCUUACCCGGGCUUGAACUGCAGCGGAAGGAUACAGAGAUGUUGACGCCCUUCGGGGCCGCUGUGGAGGUGCUGCAUGGUUGUCGUCAGCUCGUGCCGUGAGGUGUCGGCUUAAGUGCCAUAACGAGCGCAACCCUUUUCAUUAGUUGCCAUCAGGUCAUGCUGGGCACUCUGAUGAUACUGCCACCGUAAGGUGUGAGGAAGGUGGGGAUGACGUCAAAUCAGCACGGCCCUUACGUCCGGGGCUACACACGUGUUACAAUGGGUGGUACAGAGAGUCGGUCGUCUGCAAAUGCGAUCCAAUCCUUAAAGCCAUCCUCAGUUCGGAUUGGGGUCUGCAACCCGACCCCAUGAAGCUGGAUUCGCUAG
Molecule: ribosomal RNA, 601 nt
Filed under: uncultured bacterium
Lineage: Bacteria
Description: bacterial SSU rRNA
Rfam family: Bacterial small subunit ribosomal RNA
Source: RNAcentral